Tympanuchus pallidicinctus (lesser prairie-chicken) is the source of this 491-nucleotide long non-coding RNA. RefSeq lists it as uncharacterized. Lineage: Eukaryota; Metazoa; Chordata; Aves; Galliformes; Phasianidae. The transcript has 3 exons. The record is from RefSeq and is a predicted model, not a curated record.
GGCAUGGCCCUUGGCUGCUUCUUCAUCACUACCUUGAAGCUUUGUCUGGAAAAUCAUCCCACAAGUGUUAGGAAAUGUGGAUGACAGCAUGGUGUUCCAGAAUUACUGAACGUGUUUUACCUGCAGUGAAGAUGCACCAACUGUUCGUUCUCUGCAACACAUGAUGAGGUGCUAACUGCAAUCAGCUCUUUUCCAACCUGGCUUAACUCGCAGUUCUCAUAAAACUGGAGAUGGACCAUUUGGUUUAUUGGUGAUUCAAAUACUAGCAGCAUAGGACUGUGCUUGCCAGUCCACAAACUUCAGACAUUAGGCUGUUCCUGGCCAUACCAGUCUGUUGUAUUACUUCUAAUGGAGAGUUGCUUUGUGAAAAAAGCAGCAGCUGCUCACUGAAAAUAAGUCUUCUCUCAAUACUGUCAGCAAAAUGCAGCCUUUUAAUCAUUAAACAUUUCAUACUGUUAACAAAGGAAAAUGUGUUGUUGACAAUAGUGCUA